UAUUAAAAAUUUUAUUCAUUUCUUCUAUUCAAAACCAACGUGACAGAUAGAAUAAUCAUAUGGUUAGACGUGGUGUGCUAAGUGUACCUCAUCCCGACGUAUAAGGAUUGAUUUUUAAUUGUAAAAACGGAUGAAAUUUUUAACA
MicroRNA precursor from Gossypium arboreum, 145 nucleotides. It matches the Rfam family "MIR7502 microRNA precursor family". Lineage: Eukaryota; Viridiplantae; Streptophyta; Magnoliopsida; Malvales; Malvaceae. The record is from Rfam.